CAGUAGCCGCGGUAAUACAGAAGAUGCAAGCGUUAUCCGGAAUGAUUGGGCGUAAAGCGUCUGUAGGUGGCUUUUCAAGUCCACCGUCAAAUCCCAGGGCUCAACCCUGGACAGGCGGUGGAAACUACCAAGUUAGAGUACGGUAGGGGCAGAGGGAAUUUCCGGUGGAGCAGUGAAAUGCGUUGAGAUUGGAAAGAACACCAACGGCGAAAGCACUCUGCUGGGCCGACACUGACACUGAGAGACGAAAGCUAGGGGAGCAAAUGGGAUUAGAUACCCCCGUAGUCCCUGUCUCUUAUAC
This 301-nucleotide ribosomal RNA is filed under the name uncultured bacterium. RNAcentral's name for it is "partial 16S ribosomal RNA". It matches the Rfam family "Bacterial small subunit ribosomal RNA", at positions 509 to 807 of the family's 1533-position model. The record is from RNAcentral.